Molecule: ribosomal RNA, 254 nt
Filed under: uncultured bacterium
Lineage: Bacteria
Description: partial 16S ribosomal RNA
Rfam family: Bacterial small subunit ribosomal RNA
Source: RNAcentral
UACGAAGGGGGCUAGCGUUGUUCGGAAUUACUGGGCGUAAAGCGAACGUAGGCGGUGUUCCAUGUCAGAGGUGAAAGCCUGGGGCUCAACUCCAGAAUUGCCUUUGAAACGGGGACGCUUGAGUCCGAGAGAGGAUGGCGGAAUUCCUAGUGUAGAGGUGAAAUUCGUAGAUAUUAGGAAGAACACCAGUGGCGGAAGGCGGCCAUCUGGCUCGGUACUGACGCUCAGGUUCGAAAGCGUGGGAGGCAAACAGG